CUCCCAUCUCUGGUCCUCAUUAACCACGUUGGAAUGAACUUACAAGUCAUACAUAGUCUUCCUUCUUUCUGCAGAUUUCCCAAAUACAGAAAAUGGCCCUGAAGCUGCUAAUAGGACUUGUUUUGUGAGGCUCCCCCCGCCCCCGCCCACGUUGGGGGCCAUGUUCUUCACCUUUGUACUCGCCACAGGUUGUUCACCCCCCACCCACACUCCCAUUUUAUGGAUGGGGAAACUGAGGCCCCAGAGUUUGUGGUAACUGUCCCAGGAAGCGUGUGUUGGGAAUCUGAACCCAGGUUUGAUCGACUGCAGUCUGUCAUUCUCCAUUUUUGCAGCCAGAGGCAAUUUGGGGUGCGGUCAGGGCCUGUGGGGCCGUUCUGUCUCAGCUCCCACCUCUCUCCCCAGGGCUUUUCUCUCCCAAAGUUCUCAGCCCAGGCUGUGCUCUGAGGCCCCAGGGGAGCAGGUUGGGGGGGGGGGGAUGAGCGCUGUCUCCUAGGAUCUGGCUGGUGGGUAGGGGCCCAGGAACGUGCACGGAAGGGGCCUAAGGGUGAUCUCUCGCAGCGUGUGGACACCGACUCUGCAGGAGAACUGGCAUCAGUGCCCGCAGACUCUGUCCUGGCAGGUAAAUCGAUCUUUGUCAGUUUGUGACUUUGCUCCCGUCUGGAUGUCCCGCUGGUGCACUUUGAGGCAAAGAUCUCGGAUAAUGCCCCGCAGUGAGGUUUGGUAAGCCCCCGGCCUCGGGAGGACGCACGGCUGGCCUCUCCCGCAGCAGGAAACGCCGCACCUGCCCAUCCCAGGCGCCUCUGACCUCUGACCCCAGACCUGCCCCCCGGGCUGGGGCCCCGGUGACCCUGUGGUGUGGAUCAGGAGGGUGUGAGAUGCAGCGAGGAAGGCAGUGGCUUGGUCAGCUGGAGACCGGUGUCUGGGUCUGGUCCCACUGAGGAAUCACGGUGUGACCCGGGCAAGCGGUUUGCGCCAUAAAAGUGACUCGCCCCAGAUAUGGGCUCGGUCGUGUGCCCUGUGUCCUUUGCUGCCUGCACGCGUUUUCAUGGCGGGUUUGUCUGCACGUCUGGCUCCCGCUGGGAAUCACCUCUGGGACGGCCUCUCCGUGCUUCCGGUCCUCUGUACCUCUACAGAGGUGGCACUGGCAGCACAGCCCUGCUGGGCCCUCAGGCGGCGGCCAGAAAGUUCCGUCCUGGGUUAUUUGUUCAGACACAGUCCAGGCACUGCUGUGAAGGGACUUUGCAGACGAAAUCAAGGCUUUCAGCCAGCUGACGUUAACGGAUUGUCCAAGGGCCCCAGGACAAUCACGUGGGCCCUUCAAAGCAGAAGAGGAAGAGGCAGAGAGAUGCGCCCGAGGAGGUCAGAGAGCUUGAAUCCCAAGAGAGACGGCCCACCGUCGCUGGCUUUGAGUGGCGGACUCCAGAAAGUGCGAAUGACCCAGCCGACAGCCACCCCAUGGGGCUCCUGAGUUUGCUGGGGGGUGGGGGGCAGGUUCAUUCUCAGGGCCUCCAGAAAGGAAGACCGUGUGGGUGACCCCUUGAUGUUGGCCAUGUGGGAUGGGGAACAGGGGAGCCCGUCACCUCCACAUGGACUUCUGACCUUGAGAACUAUGAGAUGAUGUCUGUGUUGUCCUGAGCCCCUACCUGUGCGGUGAUUCGUCACGCAGCAGGAGGAAACUCACCCAGCAGAUGAAAUGAUCGAGGCACUUAAGCGAUCGCCUAAGGCCACACAGAUAAGUGAUGGAGCUGGGGUUCGAACCGCUGGCCGGCUGAACCCACAAUUCUACGAAGUAGAUAUCAUCCCCUCGGGAGCAGGUCAAUGACAGCGAGCCCCAGGCCUGCCCUCCUUUCUAAUUAGCCAUCAGCAGGGGUCGGGCAGCAACCAAACCACAGCUCCUGAUUCCUCGGGGAUCACCCGCAGCCUGCCCCACCUCCCCGGCUGUGGUCACCUGUCAGAGUCCACCUCUUAGCAGACAAGCUGAGGGCUCGCCAGAUUCAUUUUUGCACCCCGCCUCUGGCGUCUUGUGAUAGUAGGAACUGCAUUAACAAUGUAAUACGACAUAGUAACUGCCA
Long non-coding RNA from Felis catus (domestic cat), 2072 nucleotides. RefSeq lists it as uncharacterized. The transcript has 2 exons. The record is from RefSeq and is a predicted model, not a curated record. NCBI's taxonomy places the organism in Eukaryota, Metazoa, Chordata, Mammalia, Carnivora, Felidae.